GAUGAAGAACGCAGCGAAAUGCGAUAAGUAAUGUGAAUUGCAGAAUUCAGUGAAUCAUCGAAUCUUUGAACGCACCUUGCGCCCCUUGGUAUUCCAUGGGGCAUGCCUGUUCGAGCGUCAUUUGUACCUUCAAGCUUUGCUUGGUGUUGGGUGUUUGUCUCGCCUUUGCGUGUAGACUCGCCUUAAAAUAAUUGGCAGCCGGCGUAUUGAUUUCGGAGCGCAGUACAUCUCGCGCUUUGCACUCAUAACGACAGCGUCCAAAAGUACAUUUUACACUCUUGACCUCGGAUCAGGUAGGGAUACCCGCUGAACUUAAGCAUAUCAAUAAGCGGAGGA
This 336-nucleotide unclassified non-coding RNA is filed under the name soil metagenome. RNAcentral's name for it is "partial contains 5.8S ribosomal RNA, internal transcribed spacer 2, and large subunit ribosomal RNA". The stretch from base 1 to 120 matches the Rfam family "5.8S ribosomal RNA", at positions 35 to 154 of the family's 154-position model. The record is from RNAcentral.